GACGAACGCUGGCGGCGUGCUUAACACAUGCAAGUCGAACGGAAAGGCCCUGCUUUUGUGGGGUGCUCGAGUGGCGAACGGGUGAGUAACACGUGAGUAACCUGCCCUUGACUUUGGGAUAACUUCAGGAAACUGGGGCUAAUACCGGAUAGGAGCUCCUGCUGCAUGGUGGGGGUUGGAAAGUUUCGGCGGUUGGGGAUGGACUCGCGGCUUAUCAGCUUGUUGGUGGGGUAGUGGCUUACCAAGGCUUUGACGGGUAGCCGGCCUGAGAGGGUGACCGGCAGCGGUCGGAGGGCGAUACGGGGCGGCAGGGUGGGGGGGGCAGGGGUGGGGAAGAGUGAGGAGGGGACGGGCGGGGGGUGCGACCAGCGCGCGGGCGGGAGGACGGUCGGGGGUUGGUCGAGCGCGUGCGCGGGGGAGGAAGAGGGAGUGACGGGAGGGAGGAAGGAAGGACCGGCUAACUACGGGCCAGAAGCCGCGAGAAUACUGAGAAGAGCACACGUCUGAGC
RNAcentral lists this ribosomal RNA (509 nucleotides) under uncultured bacterium. Its description in RNAcentral is "partial 16S ribosomal RNA". The stretch from base 20 to 332 matches the Rfam family "Bacterial small subunit ribosomal RNA", at positions 47 to 358 of the family's 1533-position model. The record is from RNAcentral.